AAAUUUAGGAUAAUAUC
Molecule: transfer RNA, 17 nt
Filed under: Cnemaspis sundainsula
Lineage: Eukaryota; Metazoa; Chordata; Lepidosauria; Squamata; Gekkonidae
Description: partial tRNA-Trp
Source: RNAcentral